Molecule: non-coding RNA, 176 nt
Filed under: Christensenella timonensis
Lineage: Bacteria; Bacillati; Bacillota; Clostridia; Christensenellales; Christensenellaceae
Description: 6S / SsrS RNA
Rfam family: 6S / SsrS RNA
About the family: E. coli 6S RNA was the first non coding RNA to be sequenced, but its function was unknown until recently. It consists of 184 nucleotides that fold into an extended hairpin structure with a large single-stranded internal bulge. The 6S RNA specifically associates with RNA polymerase holoenzyme containing the sigma70 specificity factor.
Source: RNAcentral
UUUCCUGAAGUGUGCGUAAUGCUUUGUAUUUUAAACCCACAUUCUAAAUCCGGGAAUCCAGCGUCUUUUCAGCGGUGAGCACGUCUGCUGCGCGCAGGAAGCCUAAAGCUGGGAGCAGGAUACCCACCUGCCGAGAGGCGGGUGUUAGGAUUCAAAGCGUACGGCACUUUGGGUCA